RNAcentral lists this ribosomal RNA (437 nucleotides) under Providencia alcalifaciens. RNAcentral describes it as "bacterial SSU rRNA". It matches the Rfam family "Bacterial small subunit ribosomal RNA", at positions 16 to 451 of the family's 1533-position model. Lineage: Bacteria; Pseudomonadati; Pseudomonadota; Gammaproteobacteria; Enterobacterales; Morganellaceae. The record is from RNAcentral.
AUCCUGGCUCAGAUUGAACGCUGGCGGCAGGCCUAACACAUGCAAGUCGAGCGGUAACAGGGGAAGCUUGCUUCUCGCUGACGAGCGGCGGACGGGUGAGUAAUGUAUGGGGAUCUGCCCGAUAGAGGGGGAUAACUACUGGAAACGGUAGCUAAUACCGCAUAAUCUCUAAGGAGCAAAGCAGGGGAACUUCGGUCCUUGCGCUAUCGGAUGAACCCAUAUGGGAUUAGCUAGUUGGUGAGGUAAUGGCUCACCAAGGCGACGAUCCCUAGCUGGUCUGAGAGGAUGAUCAGCCACACUGGGACUGAGACACGGCCCAGACUCCUACGGGAGGCAGCAGUGGGGAAUAUUGCACAAUGGGCGCAAGCCUGAUGCAGCCAUGCCGCGUGUAUGAAGAAGGCCUUAGGGUUGUAAAGUACUUUCAGUUGGGAGGAAGG